RNAcentral lists this unclassified non-coding RNA (348 nucleotides) under soil metagenome. Its description in RNAcentral is "partial contains 5.8S ribosomal RNA, internal transcribed spacer 2, and large subunit ribosomal RNA". The stretch from base 1 to 120 matches the Rfam family "5.8S ribosomal RNA", at positions 35 to 154 of the family's 154-position model. The record is from RNAcentral.
GAUGAAGAACGUAGUGAAAUGCGAUACGUAAUGUGAAUUGCAGAAUUCAGUGAAUCAUCGAAUCUUUGAACGCACAUUGCGCCCUUUGGUAUUCCGAAGGGCAUGCCUGUUCGAGCGUCAUUAUCACCCCUCAAGCCCCGGCUUGGUGUUGGGCUCUCGGUGGUCGUCUCCGACCACCCGUCUCAAAGAUAGUGACGGCGUCCCAGAGGGAACCGGUACGAGGAGCUUUCACGAGCAUGUACGCGGGACGACUCUGCGGGCGACGGUCUUAUUUACUUUAUAUACAAGUGUUGACCUCGGAUCAGGUAGGAAUACCCGCUGAACUUAAGCAUAUCAAUAAGCGGAGGA